Solea solea (common sole) is the source of this 365-nucleotide long non-coding RNA. RefSeq lists it as uncharacterized. The transcript is spliced from 3 exons. Lineage: Eukaryota; Metazoa; Chordata; Actinopteri; Pleuronectiformes; Soleidae. The record is from RefSeq and is a predicted model, not a curated record.
UCAGACUUGCACUGAUGAUUCAUGUACAAGCACCGUGCCACUAACAUGUUCCACAGAGACAAUGUGUAUAACUGCCGCCAUUGAAGCUGUUUCAUCUGGAACUCCUGGACAACAAAUCUUCAAGGCGUGUGCGUCAUCCUCCCUUUGUCCAGCCACAGGAUCUCAGAUAUUUUCAGUCAACUUGGGUGUUUCGAGUGCACUUGCAUCUACUACAUGCUGCAACACAGAUAACUGCAACUCAGCCACUCUAUCAUUCCCCACCACUCCAUCAGUCAACAGCCUCCAGUGUUAUUCAUGUGACCCUGCCACAUCACAAUGCACCACUUCAGUUCAGUGUACGGGAACACAAGAUCGCUGCUUUCAAG